Long non-coding RNA from Pongo pygmaeus (Bornean orangutan), 3737 nucleotides. RefSeq lists it as uncharacterized. The record is from RefSeq and is a predicted model, not a curated record. Lineage: Eukaryota; Metazoa; Chordata; Mammalia; Primates; Hominidae. The transcript is spliced from 4 exons.
AUCUGCAGGAAAUAUGAAUAGAAACUGGUAAGUGCUUUGUAAAUUAUACCUUAAAGUUAUAUUGCUACUUACUUUAAGUUUUUUUAUUUCAAGUAACAAACAUGGAAUGAGGUUAACUUAAGUAAAAAAAAAAAAUUGCUUGAAAUAAUAAACUGUGGUUUUCCAAAUCAAGGGAAUAUUAUACAAAGAAAAGAACCUAGAAAAGGUAGUGGGGAGUUUGUAGGUAUACUGAACAUCAUUUUCUUAAUCCUUAUGCAAGAAAGAAUAAGCUAGAAUUUUUGUUCUGUCUGCUUGAAAGUGGGAUUCCCAGGAAAUAAGCCUAAUUAAUGAGCUUUAAUUAUACAUCACAUAUUCAAUAGGCGAGUGGAAGAAAAUUUGAUUGACAAAACCCAUUGAUUGUGGGAGGGGUGGAUAUUUGAAAAAAACAGAAAACCAAUGCUGAAUUGCAAAAGUUUUGUUAAUGUAUAAUUCAUUUUGAAAUCUCAACUUCAUUUACAUUUUUAGUAACACUACCAAAAAAUUAAUCAACUCAUUAUCUUCAUUUUAUUUUGAGGGAAGAUGAAAAACAACUGCCAUCCUCAUAAUCUUCAAUUUACAAAAAAUCAUCUUGUUCUUCCAAAUUUUCGGUAUGACAUGACUUGCUCCUCCUUGCCUUCCACCAUGAUUGUGAGGCUUCAACAGCAACCUGGAACUGCUCAUAGGUGGAAGGGACUUGCCUUGUCUCGGAUUAUACAUUAGACUGUGGACUUUUGAGUUAACGCUGAAAAGAGUUAAGACUUUGAGGGACUGUUGUGAAGGCAUGAUUGGUUUUGCAAUUAGCCCAAUACUGGUCAACAACCCAAAUGUCUAUGAAUAGGGGAAUGGUGAAAAAAAUGGACAUAUCCAUACACUGGAAGAGUAUUCAUCAAUAAGAGAAAAACUCUUCAUACAUGCAACAACAUUGAUAAAUCUCAAGAAUUAUACUGAAUAAAAGGAGUCAAGCUAUUACCUGCCUCCAAAAAGACAGUAUUAAAUGGUUUCAUGUACGUAACAUUAUAGAGAUCACAAAGUAUUCCAUACUGACAAAAAUCAGGGCAAUGCUUCCUUGAGGAUGAAAACUAGGCAGCAUUAGGAGAGUGAGACUGAAAGGAACAUGAGAAAACGUUUGAAGGUAAUGGAUUUGUUCACUGUGUUAAUACAAUGCAUUUUUACGUGUAAGACUUACCGACUUCUAUAAUUUAAAUACGCACAGUUAAUUGUAAAAAAAGUAUGAGUAAAUAGAAAAGAAGCCACAAGUCACUUGACACUGAAUAAAUUUUUCAAAAAAGUUAUUGUAGAAAAGGGAAAGCCUUAUCUAUGCUGUAAAAGUUAAAGGACAUGCCACUAGACUAGAUGCAUAAUGUGGGAAGGAGGGGAGAGCAUUCUAGGCAAAGGAAGCAAAGGAGGAAUAAAGCAUUAAUGCCAAGGAGUGUUGAGAAGGAAGUGAUAACACUGGGAUGAAAAACUACAACAAGGUGAAGAACAGCUGUGAACAUAACAUUGGUAGAUAGAUUUAUCCUCUAAGGGAUGGCAGUACAGUAAAAGAUUUCCAGAAAGGUUCACAUAAUAAAAUGAGUGUCAGUGUUAGUGAAACAAAAGUCCUGGCAGAGAGUAAGACUGGAGGGAGAAAAUAUUAAGACAAACAAGAAUAUGCAACUUUAAAUAAGAUAAAUAUAAAUAUUUUAUUGUUAUAACACCUUAUAACCUAUUGACCUUAUGAACUUUAAAAUCAUGUAAAAUAUAAAUCAAGAAUGUUCUGUAUGGUGAGAUUAUAGAAUCAAAUAGCAAUUCAAAGACCCCAAAUUCCAAAAUAUAUUCCAAGUAGCAUAAUUUUUUUUGUUACUAAGUGUAAAAUCUAUUUCAAUCAUAUCUAAGCAGCUUGCUCAUUAGAAAUAGCGUAUAGUGUUCUCAGCUAGUAAAUGAGUCUGUCACGUUUCAUUAUUAUUAUUAUUAAAGUAUUAUUAGUAUCUAUUUUUUCCCUCAAAGUCAUAACAGCCUAUUCACUAGAUAAAAUCUGCUAACUUUUCCAACGUUACACUUAAAACAAGUCUUUCUUCUGAAUUGUUUGAUGGUGACUUUUGAAAAGAACUAUCAUGAGAUAGACAAAAAUAAACUACAAAAUACACAUUUAUAAAAUAUAAUUAAAACACAAUGUCACAUGAAUCUGGAAUUAGAGAAAAUAAUGAGCAUAUAAAUAGAAUCUGAGAAGUAUUACCCUUGAAAAUAAUGGUUGUAUCAUUUGUAAUAUAUGUAAUAUUCAUAACAUUCAUCUUGUGGGUUUUUUUUUUUGCUUUUAAACAAACUGAGACAGUUUUGGAUUUCGUUGUUUCAUUUUACUUAUAAGUGACACAUAUUUGUACAUAUUUAUGAGUUAAAGUAUCAUGUUUCAAUAAUGUAUGCAUUGUAUAAUGAUUAAAUCAGUGUGAUUAGCUUAUCUUUAACAUUAAACAUUUACCAUUUCUUUGUGAUGAUAGCAUUCAAGAUCAUCUCUUCUAGUUAUCCUGAAACAUACAAAGCAUUAUUGUCAGCUAUUGUCACCUACUGUGUGAUAAAACACUAGAAGUUAUUCUUCCUGUCUAACUGUAACUUUGUACCUAAUAUUCAGAUAGGCGAGUAAUUUUGUCAUAUAUGUAACCUGGUCUAAAUGAACAGUAAACAGUGAUUGGCCUUGGUUUAUUAUGUUGACUAAUAGAGAGAUCAAUGGUCACAAUAAUCUUUAUUCAAAUGUGUUUCCAUUUGUAAGAAAAUUUUAUUUAUAAUUUAAAAGUGCUCAGCUGUGCUUUUCUAUAUCGUUUUGAUACCAUUGUCCACAGUUGUAUGCUUUUGAUGCAAAUAUUUUAGAUUAUUCAAAAGUCUUAGUAAGGAAGGUUAAAAUUACUACAUAUUAAUACAUUAUCUGGCAUGUUUAUUAUAACCAAAUAAAAAAAUUUAUUCCUCUUUUAAUAGAAUUUUAAACACAUGUGAGUUGUUCUUGUAUUCUUUUAUGAAAAAUGCUCAUUUCAAGAGAACAUAUUUUAAGUCAUAUUUUUAUCAAAUAUAUUAUUUAAUUAAAAUUUUAAUGUCAUUUCAAACUUUAUUCAAACCUAAUUCUCAACCUCUAGCCUGCUAGUCAUGAUAGUCUGAAAUAAUAAUGACAUAAAAUACUCUGAUGGGACAAAUAAAUUACUCUCACCUUUCUUGGGGAAUGGAGAAAGACAAAACACAGAAAAAUCAGUAAAAGAUAUAAAAGCAGUUUUCUGGAGUUUAUUGGUUAUAGUUACUUGUCACAAGUAUCUGUGUUCAUCUGAGUCUGUAAUUACGUAGCUGACUCUCUGAAAAGGGAACAACACAGUGAUGAAAAGAGAAAACUUGAAAUUACACAAUUAAUUACAUACUAUUUCUCCUAAGGCUAUAUAUUACACCUAAGAGAGCCUGAGCUUAAAGGUUAUACUACUAAUUCUCUUUUCAAAUGGUACUUUUAUUAGCCAUUAAAUAUCACCAUUAAAUAUCACCAUUAAUGGCUAUUUUAUUAGCCAUUAAAUAAUCAGUGUGUGAUUAUUUUUAGCCUUGUCUUAGAAAUUGAGAACCUAAGACACUAAAAUGGGUUAAUGGCUCUAAAUCAGACAAUAUAUAAAAAUCCCAACUAAUUGGUUUUUAUAAAUUGUUUGGAUCAAGAUAGAUGCAAAAAAAAUGAGUACAAAGCUUCAGGGAAAAACACAUUAAAUAAAUGUGUGCUGUAC